Molecule: ribosomal RNA, 320 nt
Filed under: uncultured fungus
Lineage: Eukaryota; Fungi
Description: eukaryotic LSU rRNA
Rfam family: 5.8S ribosomal RNA (bases 1-127)
Source: RNAcentral
UUGCAUCGAUGAAGAACGCAGCGAAAUGCGAUAAGUAGUGUGAAUUGCAGAAUUCAGUGAAUCAUCGAAUCUUUGAACGCACAUUGCGCCCCUUGGUAUUCCAUGGGGCAUGCCUGUUCGAGCGUCAUUUGUACCUUCAAGCUUUGCUUGGUGUUGGGUGUUUGUCUCGCCUCUGCGCGCAGACUCGCCUCAAAACAAUUGGCAGCCGGCGUAUUGAUUUCGGAGCGCAGUACAUCUCGCGCUUUGCACUCAUAACGACGACGAUCCAAAAGUACAUUUUUACGCUCUUGACCUCGGAUCAGGUAGGGAUACCCGCUGAA